This is a long non-coding RNA of Anopheles coluzzii, 7151 nucleotides long. RefSeq lists it as uncharacterized. Lineage: Eukaryota; Metazoa; Arthropoda; Insecta; Diptera; Culicidae. The transcript is spliced from 2 exons. The record is from RefSeq and is a predicted model, not a curated record.
UUUUAGUCACUAUACACUGUGCUUCAUGAUGCUUAGAAGGUCGUUGAAGCAUCAAACAUGCUAAAAUUAAAAAAAUAUUAGAUUAGUGUUAGACGUUCUCCUACGCUUGUUUUAAAUAGGCUUCUUCACCCUCAACUGGCAGGGGCAUCGAAUGGUCUCAUCAGCAGCGGCACGAAAUAAAAUAAACCAUCUAUACAGCGAUAACACUUUGAAUCCCAAUCCAGCUUCUCCCAUAGCGUCUCAAGGUCACACACAUAUUAAUAAAUGCUAACACCCACCAAUAACAAUACACAACCGCAAUGCACAUAUGAGUAUCAACGCAUACACCGCAACAGCCAAUCAGCUGGCGGCGGAAGGCACGGGCUGAAGCGCAAGUAAGGCAGGGCAGGGUGUGGGAAGGGAGAAGAAGCGGAUGAGAAAAUGGGCGCCAAUAAUUUUAAAUUUUUUGACCGUUUUUUUUGCUCCACCGCCAUAAAUAGUUCGUCCAUUUCGCCAACAGAUGGCGCUAAACUUGCUCGACCCAGCGCAGGAAUCGCUGAAGUCCAGCGCGGGGGACGGGCCAAAAUCUGCGCUGGCCAGCGCAGAUUUUGGUACAUUUCCUGCGCUGGAAACUGCUCGAAUUUGCGCAGCGGGUUUUAUCGGACGAGAUUUAUCCCAGUCAGACAAAUCGGACUUAAUUUACCCCUAUUUUACCGCUAAAUUACCGGUAAUUUAAGAGUAAUUUAAUGGUAAAUUAGCAGUCGUUAAUUUACCCAUUCGUGCAGUUUUGACAGAUCCUAUUUCCUCCUCUACAGGUGUCCCCCGAGAUACGACUGUAUUUGGGACCGAAAAAAUGUCCCAAAGCAAGGCGUAAGUCUAAAUAGCCGUAUGUCGAAUAUCUGUGAAUAUAAAGUUUAUAACUGAUGUUGAAAAGUCGGAAUCUAUGAUAUCGUGUAUUUUAUUUAAAAUGAUGUUCGAUAAUGUAUUAAUUUUCCUCCAAAAGUCGUUUACACGAUGUAGAUAUUCAAGACCGCCCAAGUGCCACAAAUCCACUAAACGACCACUAAACGGCUUCUAAACGACUCAAGUUCUCUACCUAAACGGAAUAUAGAAAGACUUCGUUUAGCAGACGGCAAACGACUCAUGCAUUCUAAAAAUAGCAAAAAAGCUAGUGGCGCUCUCUGCUGGUGGGAUACCCCAACCAGUGGAGCUUCCGCUUGGCGGAGAGCUUUCUCAUUUCCUCUGUACUGUUGUAUGGUUUCGCAUUGAAGUUAUGCAUCGCUAGAACUAGAACGGCGAUACGAUUGUUUAAAUACUAAACUCCAACAGAAACCACCAGCACUGAAGCAAGUGAGAUUUGAGUAAUGGUCGUUGGUGUUGAUACCCACGUAUCUGACCACACGACCAUUCAUAUAGAUUUUUGCUCAGAAAGUUAGAAGGCUAUAUAGGUCAUGAUAAGAUGAAACUUGCCGAAACACAUUGCAAGAAAAGGAUAGCAAUAUAAUGAUGAGUUGUAAUACGCCAUCUAUUGAUCAAACCAAUGAAGCUGUGGAGCUUUCAUUUUUUUAUCUAUGGAUAUUCAAUUUUCCAGUCGUUUAAGCUUAAUCUGUGGCGCUUGGGAUGUGUGGUUUGUAUGUGUUUGUGUUUGUGUGUGUGCAUGUGUGUGUAUGUGUGUGUGUACAUGUGUGUGUGUGUGUGUGUGUGUGUGUGUGUGUGUGUGUGUGUGUGUGUGUGUGUGUGUGUGUGUGUGUGUGUGUGUGUGUGUGUGUGUGUGUGUGUGUGUGUGUGUGUGUGUGUGUGUGUGUGUGUGUGUGUUUGUGUGUGUGUGUGUGUGUGUGUGUGUGUGUGUGUGUGUGUGUGUGUGUGUGUGUGUGUGUGUGUGUGUGUGUGUGUGUGUGUGUGUGUGUGUGUGUGUAUUGGUGUGUGUUUGUGUCACAAGUAUGUCGUUCUGGAUAGAUUUGUUAGUAGUUUUUUUGUGUUUUGGGUUGGGUUUUUGAUGUUAUAAGCAGGACCACCGCCCUCGCGAUCAGUGUUUUUUCGAUAUAUUAACAAUUUUACGGUCUUCUUUCGCCGUGGUCUUCUGAGGACGUCCGGUUGACUUGCGCGUUUCGGUUGUCCAAGCGCGUUUCGGUUGUCCAAGCACGUUUCGGUUGUCCGAAGCGCGUUUGCCACAAAAAUGCGCGAUUGUUCCAUUACGAACUCGAUCGUUUUGCGCUUAAUGCCAGCAGCCGCCAUUCGCUUUAUGAUAUGGCGCUGAUAAUCGGUACAAUGUUUACCUCGACCCAUUGGAACAAAAAUUGCUUGCUUGGACCGUCAAGAACGCGCUGGUUAAAAAGUUGGACACGGCUGAUCCCGUGCUCUGCCUGCGUUCUGCUUCUAUACUUGAAGAAUUACAUCGUUGUAGAGCAGCGAAAAAAGCGUAUGGAUAAAAACUAUCAAUGAGUAAGCGAGUGAGUGUCUACCCAUUUAAAUCGAGAACCGAAUACUGCCGCGCUCAUGAAACAAAACGCCCAUUUAAAAGAACAACUGCGCGCCAGCUCAAUGCACGCACAAAGUUUAACAUGCGAACACAACGUUCAACGCAGAGAUGCAUGCAGGCCUUUAAAUGACGUGCACUGGAGAAACACCUGUAAGGGAAUGCCGAGUUCAUUGCUGUUGUGCGCGUUUCCAUUUCGCAGCGCUGUCGCAAUCAAAUUCAUGAAACAGCACACCUGCGUUUUCGUCCGAGGAACAAGCGCUGCUGUCGAUGCAAACUUUAGCUUUUAUCCAAGUGUGAUUGCACGCUGUUUCACAUGAUAACACACAUCAUCAGAACGCAAUACUUUCAACGCAAUAUGACAUCAUGGCAAGCUACGUUUUUCAGACACAAACCCGCGCACUCGCAAAUACACAUUAAAAAGUACAGGUGUCCCCCGAGAUACGACUGUAUUUGGGACCGAAAAAAUGUCCCAAAGCAAGGCGUAAGUCGAAAAAGUCGUAUGUCGAAUAUCUAUGAAUAUAAAGUUUAUAACCGAAAUGGAAGAGUUGGAAUAAAUGAUAUCGCGUAUUUUAUUUAAAAUAAUGUUCGAUAAUGUAAUAAUUAUUUUAAAGAAACCAUACAAAAUAAAGAUAUUCAAGAUAGGGUAGUUGUGAAAUCUUUGGAAAUGUAUGUAUAACGGUUAUCAGCCCAAAUAUUCAGAAAAAUACAUAAAUUUCUUGUCAAUGACAACUUUUAACUGUCAAAAUCAAAAUCGUCGUAUCUGCGAAUCGUCGUAACUCGAGGGGGUCGUAACUCGGGGGACGCCUGUACACUCUAUUUCUACUACCACACUCACACAGACACACACACACACACACACACACACACACACACACACACACACACACUUUGAGACAAAAAUAGGUGAGUUAGAGUCAAAAUUUAGAGGCAACGACUGUAUUGUCCGAUACUGUAGAUAAAAACAGUGAAUAUAUGAGUGGUGCGGAAUACUAUUUCACAUCUUCUAAUUUUUUUUUACAUUUUCAACACGUUUUUAUACGACUUAUGAUGAAAAAACAAAUUUCUGAUUGUGCCCAAAAAAGACACCUAAUAAAGACACUUCGAAGAACAGGUUUUAUAUGCUAACUAAAAAAAUCGUUAAAAAUCGUUCAAAAAUAUAAAUAAAACGUUCUGCAAAAGUUUUAAAGUGAUAUAUUUUUGAACGAUUUUUAAAAAGUGUUUUUAUAACCUUUUAAAGUUUUAUAAGUUUUAUAAGAGUAAUUAUCAAAAUAUAUUUUUUGAAUAUAAAAAAAAUCACAAAAACAUUUUUUUUCGCCUGUAAUGAUUGUUUUGAAAAUGCAAAUCAAAGUAUGUAACAAGUUUUUCAAAAUUAUUUUGAAAUUGCCUAAAUAUCUAAAUAUUUGCUGUUGUUACAUACAUAGUUGAGGAAUGUAAUCCUAGUCCGACAUUUUUUUCCUCCCACCACCCACGUCACCAUCGAUUUUUUCUUAUACGGACGUCACACGAAGCGUAAACUUUGGCGUAAACUGGGUUUUAGCCAUACAACCCUAUAAUCUUUUGACAGGAAGUUUACGCUCUCCCAUACAAAUCAAGCGUAAAAUUUUUGAGUUUACGCUUCGUGUGACGUCCGUAUUAGACCGCUGCAAAGGCGCCCCUAAUUUUUUUGGAGGAAUUGCAGAUGAACACGAUUUUCAAUUGCAAUGGGCCUAGAGUAUUACUCUUUGCACAUAUUCUUUCCGGAAUUACAAAUACUUAUCUAAUACAUGUAAAUACCACAUCACUAAUUCAGCCAGUCCUUAUUUAGGCUCAUAAACUACCUAACGAAUUCACGACUAAACUCUACAAUCGGAGGCUACCGGCGUCUUUGUAGCGGUCUAAGAGAACAUCGAUGGUGAAGUGGGUGGUGGGAGGAAAAAAAAUAUCAGACUAGGAUUACAUUACUUAACUUCUUCUUCUUCUUCUUCUUUGGCUCAACAACCGAUGUCGGUCAAGGCCUGCCUGUAACCACUUGUGGGCUUGGCUUUCAGUGACUAACUGAUUCCCUCCCAUAGCAGGAUAGUCAGUCCUACGUAUUGCGGCACGGUCCAUUUGGGGAUUGAACCCAUGACGGGCAUGUUGUUAAGUCGUACGAGUUGACGACUAUACUACGAGACCGGCUUAACUAUGUAUGUAACAGCAGCAAAUAUUUAGAUUCUGCUAAAAAAUCGUUGUUGAGCUUUUUGUGUCGCUUUUGUUUGAUCGAAUCAAUUUUGAACCGAUGUUUGAAAAAUUGGAAAGGUUCUCAUGGCAAUUUCAAAACAAUCAUUUCUGCCGAAUUUUUUUUGUGAAAUUUUUUUAUAUUAAAAAUAUAUUUUGAUAAUUACUCUUAUAAAACUUAUAAAACCUUAAAAAUAAGUUUAAAAACAUUUUUUUAAAAUCGUUCAAAAAUGUAUUUCUUCAAAACCGUUGUAGAAUAUGAUCUUUAUAGUUUUGAACGAUUUUUAAAUGCGUUACUUAGCACAUAAAACCUGUUGUUCGAAGUGUCUUUAUAGUCGUGGUAUGACCAUAAAUUUGUUUUUUCGUCAUAAGUCGUGCAAAAAUGUGUUAAUAAAAAUUAAAAAAAGAAGAUGUGAAAUAGUAUUCUGCACAACUCAUAAAUUCACUGUUUUUAUCUAUCUCUGGGGCCCUUCACGAUUCUAGUCAGUUUUUGCAUGGCUCCAGAUGGUCCAGAUGGUCUCAUAGCAUGUUUUUUAUAACCAAACUUGAAUAUCACUUUUGGCAGGAUUGGUGAAAAGUUUUGUUCAAACAAUUUUUUUUAGGCUUGACGAAUAUUCAAAACACUCUUAAAAUUCUCAUUCAGAAGCAGCAGCGAUAAAAAUCAGCCUUCAAAAUUCAUACAUCUUGGGAUAAGCCCACCUGUAUAUUACAGUCGUUGCCGCUAAAUUUUGACUCUAACUAACCUAUUUUUGUCUCAAAGGCACGUGUCACGAUUUUUGCCUCGAAGGUAUCAAUUUUUGACAGUGCGCAUCAAUUUUUGACUCGAAGGCAUCAGUUUUUGACUGUGAGUCAAUUGCUUUAUUUACAAAAUUUGACGCAAUUUCUGAAACUGUGUGUUCUGAAAUGGUUGAUUAAGUUAAGUAGUGAAUAAUUUUAUUGAUAGAAUUUAAAAUAAAACAAAUGUUUUGCCAAUUUUGGAUGAUUUAAUGGAGUGAAAAAUAUUUGGCAUGUAUUUUCAGCUGUAAACAAAAGCUUUAAAAUUUCUAAAAUUUCAUCAUUUUUUCGCAAGAAACAAUCAAUUUAUACAGUUUUUGUAUUUUUAAUGAGAUGUGGGAUAACAAUUGUUCAAAAUCUGCUUAAAUACCUUGUAAAAUUGUCGUGAUUCCUACAAGAGUCAAAAAUUGAUGACUUACAGACAAAAAUAGGCGCGUUAGAGUCAAAAAUUGAUGCGCACUGUCGAAAAUUGAUGCCUUACAGGCAAAAAUUGAUGCGCACUGUCAAAAAUUGAUGCCUUAGAGCCAAAAUUAGGUGGCAACGACUGUAUAAUCACUUAGAUAGCUGCUCGAAAACUGCUAUACCCCACUCGACAAACAAGUGCUCGAAAUUGCAUACAACUCCCUAAUUUUGUGUCACCGAACCCUGGGAUAUGAAAAAAUGAGGACGUUUUUGUUCGGACUGAGGGUAAAAUUAGGGGAUAUGAGAACAGGCUUUUGCGAGUGUGUGAGUGUACGCGCGCCGACCUUGAUAUACAUGUAUUGGUGAGGUACGAGGGUAUUUAUGUAUGUAGUUGUGAUAUCAAUUUUCUUUCGGCGCCAAAUGAAAUGUCACGUUUGAAUUCAAAGAAUUUAAGAGAUUGUAUUGUUCACUAGUUUCACUUCGUGUAGAGCUUCUCAUUGUUUGACAAAAAAAGCUUAACUGGUCGAUAUAGAUUUGCAUACACAAGGUAAAACAAUACUCAUAGGAAACGUUUAAAUACUCUAUGAAACUAUAUAAAACGAACUUUUUUAGAUGGAGGACAAAAACAACAACGUGCCAGUACCAACUGAUUUGGCAAAAGAAUGCAUGAUGUUACGCCGAAUGGUAGCUCAGCUAAAGGUCCAGAACGAUGUGAUGAACAACAAGCUCGAUGUUCUGACCGGGAUGAUGCAACAACUGUUGGCGAAUCAAAACACCUGCUUGAGCCCCACGGAUAAAACCCCUUCGCCAAACUUUUGCACUGUAGAGACCAUUGAGGAGAUGAAUGCUCUGGAGGAGAAGCUGAAAAAAAAGAGUACCGAGAUGAAUUUGUGGAAUGGGUGAAACUAAAUAUUGCAGAGGGCGAUUUUAAACAACGUGCUUGUGACGCUCUUCAUUUGAUCCUAGGGCCUAACAUUUUACUGCAAUGUUCGUGGACAGGAAGAGCAAAAGUAGGAGAUAAAAUACCUUUGUGUAAAUAUAAAAAUAUAGUACUAGUUAUUCAAGAAUUAGGAGGAAAUUGUUAGGAUAAGAUAUUAAAAGAUUGGAUGCAGCUUAAAUUAAAUCAUAGUGAUAAUUUAAAAGGAAACAAAUUCAUAAAUAAGUCUAGUUGCCAUAAGCCGAGAUCAAGUAGUGUGUAAAUAGUAGAAGAUAAGUAGAUUAUAGUUCUUAAAAUUAGUGGAAGCUCUGUUAUAAUCUAGAUGAACUAUUUAAUUAGAAUUGGAUUAUCAAAAAAGAAUUCAAAUGAAAUAAUACUCACUUA